UUGAACCCAGGAGGCGGAGGUUGCAGUGAGCCGAGAUCGCACCACUGCACUCCAGCCUGGGCAACAAGAGUGAGACUCUGUCUCAGAAAAAACAAAAAACACCCAUUCAUUUACUCAUGCAACAAAUUCUCCUGCAAGCUUUUAUGGGCACUCAGUAACUACUCAGGAUUGGAUUUAUCAGCCUUGCCCCUGAGCAGCUCGUGGUCCUAUGGAACCUGAGCCAGGCCUCGGUCUCUCCAUGAUUGGCUCAGCUAACUCUCAGUUCAGAGCAGAGAGUAUCAAUCUUGUGUUUUUGCCUUUAGGCAGCACUACAUGAAACAUGGGGCCUGUGGUCCUUCCUUCUGGCGUCCCCCGUGUUAAAAGAUAAAAAAACACCCCAAGAGCCAUCUGUGCUCUCUGCCCCUCCUGUGGGGACCAUGUGGGGUUAGGAAUGGCUCAGUGGGGAAGGAGAGCGCUCUUGUCCCCAGUCCCAUGUCACCCUGUCCCUUAGAUAGGGAGUUGGGCUGCAGAGAUUGGUGCGAGGAGAGGAUGGGUUUGGGAAUUGGAGUUCCUCCAAGGAGCUCCUCCUAAGAUUGAGAGCUGCAGCUGUAGUGGCUGCUGGUUGGGAGGUAAGUGCCAUCACUAAUUUAAAAGUCCUUGCCAUCUGGAAGCAGGCUUUGUCAACAGCAGCUGAGAAAAGCGGACUGUGCCUCUGCUGGCCAGGCCUAGGCGCUCGUCAGAGCAUGCCUCUGCCCAAGGCAUUUGGGCCUGGGUGAUUGUUGCACCUCUGGCCUUGGCGUUUCCUCUUUGCAGCACGUGCCUACCUCCCCCAAGCCCUGAGCCACUGCCUGCUGGGGCUCCUACUGAAGUUCUGGCAACACCUCUGCACCUGCCACCCCUGGGAGGAAAGAGGGCCACACGGGAAGUGUCUGCAGGGAGAGGUGACACUCGGCAGCCUGAGUUCAGGAGAGGUGCUCAGAGCUUCAGGCAGAGAGGCCUUCAGAGGAGGGAAAUGGAGCAAUGUGUCACAGGCAGACAGGGUCAGGACUGCCACCCCAGGCCCCGUGGGAGGCCAGCUGAGGGCACAGAGCUGCUCGGUGCAGGCUUCAUGCUUUGAUCUGGAAAGAGCAGCUGUCCGUAGGCCUCUGUCUCCAAGAGGCCCGUCACACAGGAGGACCGCUGGAAACAUAUCGACACGUGCAGUCUCCCCUCCAAGCUAUUCACACUGAUUGUGGAAUCUCUUUCAAACACAAGUGUCAGGUGUGUGUCAUCCCAGCGGGCCCUGUGCUGUGAAUAGAGCCAUGUGCAGCACAAAGGGAAUGUGGCAUGUGGCCCCGGAAGAGUUCACCCGGCCAGGGGCCAGUUGUUCAGUUGCCUGGGGCUGACACUGACCACUGGCCUCUGGGGUGUCCUACAGCCCAGAUGCCCACCUUGCCCUCCUCACAUCUCAGUCAGGGGAGGCCAUGCCCAGGCCAAUGUGCUGUCGGAGCCUGCAGUGGGGGCAGCACUUCCUCGGAGGGCCUGGGAGGUGCCAGGGAUGCCCCAGUGCUUCUCCUCCUGCCUGGCCCUGGCAUGGCCCAGUGCCUCUAGGAUCAACUUACGAUCCAUGGAGCAGCCCCGGGAAACCCAAACCUGGCUCAGGACAGCGUAGGGGCAGGAGGGCUGUAAAUCACCCCAGGCUAAGCCUCCAUGGGUGCUGGGUCCUGCGCAGCCCGGCUAUGGGCUCAGUUAGAACCACUUAGAAAGUCAUCAGCGACACCCCACAGAAGGCCACUGCAGCUAAGUAAACACCUGAGAAGGAAACUGUUCCAGAAGUGAUGACGUGGGCUUCCAGGAGCACGGAGGAGGUGGCACUUGAACUUUGAGGAAACUCCUUGGAUGAGAUAAAGUGGGGGUUGGAGGUGGCGGGAAGAGGGUAACCCUGGGAAAGUCAGCGUCGGAACGCAUGGCAGAAGACUGUGGAAGAGGCAGGGGAGGGGCUUUGGGGACCACUGUGGGCGGAGCUCUGAAAGCACCCUGGCCAAAGCCUCUCCUGAGGUGACAGAGCGUGGGAGGAGGCUGCGGGGGCACUGGGCCUGCGUGCCAUCCUCACCCUGUUCCCCGCUGGUGCCAGGCCCUGCCUUCUUGGUACAUGUGCCAACAGGAGAGCCCUCACCAGCUGACCCUGUCGCUCUCCGUGGUGACUGUGCCUGGGCCAGCGGCGGCCCCGCCAGCUGACCCUGUCGCUCUCCGUGGUGACUGUGCCUGGGCCAGCGGCGGCCCCGCCAGCUGACCCUGUCGCUCUCCGUGGUGACUGUGCCUGGGCCAGCGGCGGCCCCGCCAGCUGAUCCUGUCGCUCUCCGUGGUGACUGUGCCUGGGCCAGCGGCGGCCCCGCCAGCUGAUCCUGUCGCUCUCCGUGGUGACUGUGCCUGGGCCAGCGGCGGCCCCGCCAGCUGAUCCUGUCGCUCUCCGUGGUGACUGUGCCUGGGCCAGCGGCGGCCCCGCCAGCUGACCCUGUCGCUCUCCGUGGUGACUGUGCCUGGGCCAGCGGCGGCCCCGCCAGCUGACCCUGUCGCUCUCCGUGGUGACUGUGCCUGGGCCAGCGGCGGCCCCGCCAGCUGAUCCUGUCGCUCUCCGUGGUGACUGUGCCUGGGCCAGCGGCGGCCCCGCCAGCUGACCCUGUCGCUCUCCGUGGUGACUGUGCCUGGGCCAGCGGCGGCCCCGCCAGCUGACCCUGUCGCUCUCCGUGGUGACUGUGCCUGGGCCAGCGGCGGCCCCGCCAGCUGACCCUGUCGCUCUCCGUGGUGACUGUGCCUGGGCCAGCGGCGGCCCCGCCAGCUGACCCUGUCGCUCUCCGUGGUGACUGUGCCUGGGCCAGCGGCGGCCCCGCCAGCUGACCAUGUCGCUCUCCGUGGUGACUGUGCCUGGGCCAGCGGCGGCCCCGCCAGCUGACCCUGUCGCUCUCCGUGGUGACUGUGCCUGGGCCAGCGGCGGCCCCGCCAGCUGACCCUGUCGCUCUCCGUGGUGACUGUGCCUGGGCCAGCGGCGGCCCCGCCAGCUGAUCCUGUCGCUCUCCGUGGUGACUGUGCCUGGGCCAGCGGCGGCCCCGCCAGCUGAUCCUGUCGCUCUCCGU
This is an RNA transcript of Rhinopithecus roxellana (golden snub-nosed monkey), 3092 nucleotides long. RefSeq lists it as uncharacterized. The transcript has 2 exons. NCBI's taxonomy places the organism in Eukaryota, Metazoa, Chordata, Mammalia, Primates, Cercopithecidae. The record is from RefSeq and is a predicted model, not a curated record.